This is a long non-coding RNA of Synchiropus splendidus (mandarinfish), 592 nucleotides long. RefSeq lists it as uncharacterized. The record is from RefSeq and is a predicted model, not a curated record. The transcript is spliced from 2 exons. Lineage: Eukaryota; Metazoa; Chordata; Actinopteri; Syngnathiformes; Callionymidae.
AUUGACAGCUUUGCCACUGAGGCACACGUUUAAGGAACAGGGUGGCCCCUGUCACAUGACAGUCCAAACAGACCUACAAGAGGAAAGAGACAAGGCAUGGCAGCAGGUGGUCUGAACACGUCGUCAGUUUGGGGCAGAGGGACCAAAAUAUCCUCACUGCAUUUAUGACAUCACUUGUAAUGUUCAACUUUGGGUAUGGGAUGAUGCCGAGCAUGAAGGUCAGACAAGUUGUGCUUCACUCACCACCAGGAACCAAUAAGAGGAACAGAAAAAGCUGACUGCAGCAGUCACAGUCACCGAGGAGUUGGAGCUGUGACGGGUCAUCGUGUUCAAAAGUGUGUCUGCGUUUUGUUUGGGAAGAAAAUGCGUCUGAAGGAUGAGCAAACCCUUUCAACACCAUGGUAGAAUGAUGAAAGAGGGUUCCGUGUUUAGUCUGUGACACCACACACCCUGGAGCUAACAGCUAGCACGUCGGUUAGCACGCAGCUAACUGUGCAGAAUCAGAAUAACAUUUAUUGCCAUGGUCAGUGGGGGUUCCACCAACUAGGAAAGUGCUUCGAAAUAAAGUGCUGUUAAUAAAAUAAAAUAAAAU